AACGAACGCUGGCGGCAUGCCUAACACAUGCAAGUCGAACGAGACCUUCGGGUCUAGUGGCGCACGGGUGCGUAACGCGUGGGAACCUGCCCUUAGGUUCGGAAUAACUCCCCGAAAGGGGUGCUAAUACCGGAUAAUGUCUUCGGACCAAAGAUUUAUCGCCUUUGGAUGGGCCCGCGUUGGAUUAGCUAGUUGGUAGGGUAAAAGCCUACCAAGGCGACGAUCCAUAGCUGGUCUGAGAGGAUGAUCAGCCACACUGGGACUGAGACACGGCCCAGACUCGUAGGGGAGGUAGGAGUGGAAAUGAUGGGAGAAGGGGAGAAAGCGGGAGCCGACAGGGCGGGGUGGGUGAUGAUGGCAGGAGGGUUGAACAGCUUUUGUACGCGGGAUAAGAAUGACGGAAGGGGGAGAACAAGCGCCUGCCAACCCCGGGCCAGCGGCCGGGGUAAUAACGGGAGGCGCACCCGUCUGAAC
RNAcentral lists this ribosomal RNA (474 nucleotides) under uncultured bacterium. RNAcentral's name for it is "partial 16S ribosomal RNA". It matches the Rfam family "Bacterial small subunit ribosomal RNA", at positions 33 to 541 of the family's 1533-position model. The record is from RNAcentral.